Molecule: ribosomal RNA, 292 nt
Filed under: uncultured bacterium
Lineage: Bacteria
Also listed under: 1 other name
Description: partial 16S ribosomal RNA
Source: RNAcentral
GGACUACUGGGGUAUCUAAUCCUGUUUGAUCCCCACGCUUUCGUGCCUCAGUGUCAAUACACCCGUAGUAAGCUGCCUUCGCAAUUGGUGUUCUAUGUCAUAUCUAAGCAUUUCACCGCUACAUGACAUAUUCCGCUUACCUCCAGAUGAUUCAAGAUCUAUAGUAUCAAUGGCAGUUUCCGAGUUAAGCCCGGAGAUUUCACCACUGACUUACAAACCCACCUACGCACCCUUUAAACCCAGUGAAUCCGGAUAACGCUUGCACCCUCCGUAUUACCGCGGCGGCUGGCAC